Molecule: transfer RNA, 69 nt
Filed under: Rattus norvegicus (Norway rat)
Lineage: Eukaryota; Metazoa; Chordata; Mammalia; Rodentia; Muridae
Rfam family: tRNA
About the family: Transfer RNA (tRNA) molecules are approximately 80 nucleotides in length. Their secondary structure includes four short double-helical elements and three loops (D, anti-codon, and T loops). Further hydrogen bonds mediate the characteristic L-shaped molecular structure. tRNAs have two regions of fundamental functional importance: the anti-codon, which is responsible for specific mRNA codon recognition, and the 3' end, to which the tRNAs corresponding amino acid is attached (by aminoacyl-tRNA synthetases). tRNAs cope with the degeneracy of the genetic code in two manners: having more than one tRNA (with a specific anti-codon) for a particular amino acid; and 'wobble' base-pairing, i.e. permitting non-standard base-pairing at the 3rd anti-codon position.
Source: Rfam by way of RNAcentral
GGGGAUUUGGCUCAGUGGCAGAGCACUUGCCUGGGAAGCGUAAGGCCCUGGGUUCGGUCCCCAGCUCCG